CAUGUUGUCAGCAUGCCAGGUGUUUGGAACCAUUGUUCCAUCCUGUCGUCGCAAGCGAUAAGUUCCUGGCCUUAUCUCUUCGUCGACGAUGUAUGGACCCUCGAAGUUGGAUGACAACUUAUUCCUUGGUCUACUCCUUUCGGUGAUACUAGCCUUCCGCGUGAUGAGGGUUCCCGGCAGAAACACUUUUUUGCGUACUUGGCGAUUGUGGUAUCGUGAUACGCUGGCCUUGUACGAUUCAUUCCGCAAGUCUGCCUC
This 258-nucleotide long non-coding RNA is filed under the name Zostera marina. RNAcentral's name for it is "long non-coding RNA (ZMAR_LNC000503)". Lineage: Eukaryota; Viridiplantae; Streptophyta; Magnoliopsida; Alismatales; Zosteraceae. The record is from RNAcentral.